RNAcentral lists this ribosomal RNA (464 nucleotides) under uncultured bacterium. RNAcentral describes it as "partial 16S ribosomal RNA". It matches the Rfam family "Bacterial small subunit ribosomal RNA", at positions 28 to 507 of the family's 1533-position model. The record is from RNAcentral.
GACGAACGCUGGCGGCGUGCUUAACACAUGCAAGUCGAACGGAAAGGCCCAGCUUGCUGGGUGCUCGAGUGGCGAACGGGUGAGUAACACGUGGGUGAUCUGCCCCUAACUUCGGGAUAAGCUUGGGAAACUGGGUCUAAUACCGGAUAGGACAAUCGUUUAGUGUCGGUUGUGGAAAGUUUUUUCGGUUAGGGAUGAGCCCGCGGCCUAUCAGCUUGUUGGUGGGGUAAUGGCCUACCAAGGCGUCGACGGGUAGCCGGCCUGAGAGGGUGGACGGCCACAUUGGGACUGCGAUACGGCCCAGACUCCUACGGGAGGCAGCAGUGGGGAAUAUUGCACAAUGGGAGCAAGCCUGAUGCAGCGACGCCGCGUGGGGGAUGACGGCCUUCGGGUUGUAAACCUCUUUCGACAGGGACGAAGCUUUGGUGACGGUACCUGUAUAAGAAGCACCGGCUAACUACGUG